RNAcentral lists this ribosomal RNA (1501 nucleotides) under uncultured Bordetella sp. RNAcentral describes it as "partial 16S-23S ribosomal RNA intergenic spacer". It matches the Rfam family "Bacterial small subunit ribosomal RNA". Lineage: Bacteria; Pseudomonadati; Pseudomonadota; Betaproteobacteria; Burkholderiales; Alcaligenaceae. The record is from RNAcentral.
AGUAACAGAGGGUUUGAUUAUGGCUCAGAUUGAACGCUGGCGGGAUGUUUACACAUGCAAGUCGAACGGCAGCACGGACUUCGGUCUGGUGGCGAGUGGCGAACGGGUGAGUAAUGUAUCGGAACGCCUAGUAGCGGGGAUAACUACGCGAAAGCGUAGCUAAUACCGCAUACGGCCCUUCGGGGAAAGCGGGGGACCUUCGGGCCUCGCACUAUUAGAGCGGCCGAUAUCGGAUUAGCUAGUUGGUGGGGUAACGGCUCACCAAGGCGACGAUCCGCUGGUUUGAGAGGACGACCAGCCACACUGGGACUGGAGACACGGCCCAGACUCCUACGGGAGGCAGCAGUGGGGGAAUUUUGGACAAUGGGGAAACCCUGAUCCAGCCAUCCCGCGUGCGAUGAAGGCCUUCGGGUUGUAAAGCACUUUUGGCAGGAAAGAAACGGCACGGGAUAAUACCCCGUGCAACUGACGGUACCUGCAGAAUAAGCACCGGCUAACUACGUGCCAGCAGCCGCGGUAAUACGUAGGGUGCAAGCGUUAAUCGGAAUUACUGGGCGUAAAGCGUGCGCAGGCGGUUCGAAAGAAAGAUGUGAAAUCCCAGAGCUUAACUUUGGAACUGCAUUUUUAACUACCGAGCUAGAGUGUGUCAGAGGGAGGUGGAAUUCCGCGUGUAGCAGUGAAAUGCGUAGAUAUGCGGAGGAACACCGAUGGCGAAGGCAGCCUCCUGGGAUAACACUGACGCCUGAUGCACGAAAGCGGGGAGCAAACAGGAUUAGAUACCCUGGUAGUCCACGCCCUAAAACGAUGUCAACUAGCUGCUGGGGCCUUCGGGCCUUGGUAGCGCAGCUAACGCGUGAAGUUGACCGCCUGGGGAGUACGGUCGCAAGAUUAAAACUCAAAGGAAUUGACGGUGACCCGCACAAGCGGUGGAUGAUGUGGAUUAAUUCGAUGCAACGCGAAAACCUUACCUACCUCCUUGACAUGUCUGGAAUCCUGAAGAGAUUUGGGAGUGCUCGCAAGAGAACCGGAACACAGGUGCUGCAUGGCUGUCGUCAGCUCGUGUCGUGAGAUGCUGGGUUAAGUCCCGGGCAACGAGCGCAACCCUUGUCAUUAGUUGCUACGAAAGGGCACUCUAAUGUGAGACUGCCGGUGACAAACCGGAGGAAGGUGGGGAUGACGUCAAGUCCUCAUGGCCCUUAUGGGUAGGGCUUCACACGUCAUACAAUGGUCGGGACAGAGGGUCGCCAACCCGCGAGGGGGAGCCAAUCCCAGAAACCCGAUCGUAGUCCGGAUCGCAGUCUGCAACUCUCGACUGGUGCGUGAAGUCGGAAUCGCUAGUAAUCGCGGAUCAGCAUGUCGCGUGAAUACGUUCCCGGUCUUGUACACACCGCCCGUCACACCAUGGGAGUGGGUUUUACCAGAAGUAGUUAGCCUAACCGGGGUAAGGAGGGCGAUUACCACGGUAGGAUCUGGCGACUGGGGUGAAGUCGUAACAAGGUAG